RNAcentral lists this ribosomal RNA (253 nucleotides) under uncultured bacterium. RNAcentral describes it as "partial 16S ribosomal RNA". It matches the Rfam family "Bacterial small subunit ribosomal RNA", at positions 524 to 776 of the family's 1533-position model. The record is from RNAcentral.
UACGUAGGGCGCGAGCGUUGUCCGGAAUUAUUGGGCGUAAAGAGCUCGUAGGCGGCCGGUUGCGUCUGCUGUGAAAUCCCGGGGCUUAACCCCGGGCGUGCAGUGGAUACGGGCCGGCUGGAGGCAGGCAGGGGAGAAUGGAAUUCCCGGUGUAGCGGUGAAAUGCGCAGAUAUCGGGAGGAACACCGGUGGCGAAGGCGGUUCUCUGGGCCUGUGCUGACGCUGAGGAGCGAAAGCGUGGGGAGCGAACAGG